RNAcentral lists this ribosomal RNA (449 nucleotides) under uncultured bacterium. RNAcentral describes it as "partial 16S ribosomal RNA". It matches the Rfam family "Bacterial small subunit ribosomal RNA", at positions 29 to 523 of the family's 1533-position model. The record is from RNAcentral.
AACGAACGCUGGCGGCAGGCUUAACACAUGCAAGUCGAGCGCAUCCUUCGGGGUGAGCGGCAGACGGGUGAGUAACGCGUGGGAACGUACCCUUUCCUACGGAAUAGCUCCGGGAAACUGGAAUUAAUACCGUAUACGCCCUUAGGGGGAAAGAUUUAUCGGGGAAGGAUCGGCCCGCGUUGGAUUAGCUAGUUGGUGGGGUAAAGGCCUACAAAGGCGACGAUCCAUAGCUGGUCUGAGAGGAUGAUCAGCCACAUCGGGACUGAGACACGGCCCAAACUCCUACGGGAGGCAGCAGUGGGGAAUAUUGGACAAUGGGCGCAAGCCUGAUCCAGCCAUGCCGCGUGAGCGAUGAAGGCCUUAGGGUUGUAAAGCUCUUUCAGUAGGGAAGAUAAUGACGGUACCUACAGAAGAAGCCCCGGCUAACUUCGUGCCAGCAGCCGCCGUAA